AGUUGUGAGGGCAAUCUGGCUGCAUCUAUCACCCCACUGGUACCAGGGUUGAUUCAGUUGGCUCGGCGGCUGUCCCCUUCCUCCCUCAGCCCUCCAUGUGCUUCCCUCCUGAAGCAUCAUGCUCUGAGGAAGAGGACGACCUUCCCCCCAGAGGAGAGGGCCGGUCAAGGGUGUACAAGUAGCUGCGCUCCCUGCUAGAACCUCCAAACGAGUUCUCAAGGCAGUCAAGCUUCCAAGACUCCAGACACAUCCACAUGAGAGGCUGCAUGUGGAAGUCUGCAUUUCU
This 286-nucleotide small nuclear RNA is filed under the name Myotis davidii. RNAcentral describes it as "7SK RNA". It matches the Rfam family "7SK RNA". Rfam says of the family: 7SK was discovered as an abundant small nuclear RNA in the mid-70s but a possible function has only recently been suggested. Two independent studies have found that 7SK RNA binds the CDK9/cyclin T complex (known as elongation factor P-TEFb). P-TEFb activates transcription by phosphorylating the C-terminal domain of RNA polymerase II. Lineage: Eukaryota; Metazoa; Chordata; Mammalia; Chiroptera; Vespertilionidae. The record is from Rfam by way of RNAcentral.